CCUACGGGAGGCAGCAGUGGGGAAUUUUGGACAAUGGGGGCAACCCUGAUCCAGCCAUUCCGCGUGAGUGAAGAAGGCCUUCGGGUUGUAAAGCUCUUUCGCAAGGGAAGAAAACUUAUGAUCGAAUAAAUCAUGAGGUUGACGGUACCUUGAUAAGAAGCACCGGCUAACUACGUGCCAGCAGCCGCGGUAAUACGUAGGGUGCGAGCGUUAAUCGGAAUUACUGGGCGUAAAGCGUGCGCAGGCGGUUUUGUAAGUCGGAUGUGAAAUCCCCGGGCUCAACCUGGGAACUGCGUUCGAAACUGCAAGGCUAGAGUGUGUCAGAGGGGGGUAGAAUUCCACGUGUAGCAGUGAAAUGCGUAGAGAUGUGGAGGAAUACCAAUGGCGAAGGCAGCCCCCUGGGAUAACACUGACGCUCAUGCACGAAAGCGUGGGGAGCAAACAGGAUUAGAUACCCUGGUAGUCCACGCCCUAAACGAUGUCAACUAGUUGUUGGUAGAGUAAAAUCUAUGAGUAACGUAGCUAACGCGUGAAGUUGACCGCCUGGGGAGUACGGUCGCAAGNUUAAACUUCAAAGGAAUUGACGG
RNAcentral lists this ribosomal RNA (587 nucleotides) under uncultured bacterium. RNAcentral describes it as "bacterial SSU rRNA". It matches the Rfam family "Bacterial small subunit ribosomal RNA", at positions 338 to 916 of the family's 1533-position model. The record is from RNAcentral.